UACGGAAGGUCCAGGCGUUAUCCGGAUUUAUUGGGUUUAAAGGGAGCGUAGGCCGUUUGGUAAGCGUGUUGUGAAAUGUCGGGGCUCAACCUGGGCAUUGCAGCGCGAACUGCCAGACUUGAGUGCGCAGGAAGUAGGCGGAAUUCGUCGUGUAGCGGUGAAAUGCUUAGAUAUGACGAAGAACUCCGAUUGCGAAGGCAGCCUGCUGUAGCGCAACUGACGCUGAAGCUCGAAAGCGUGGGUAUCGAACAGGAUUAGAAACCCGGGUAGUGACUGACU
Molecule: ribosomal RNA, 279 nt
Filed under: Leyella stercorea DSM 18206
Lineage: Bacteria; Pseudomonadati; Bacteroidota; Bacteroidia; Bacteroidales; Prevotellaceae
Description: Prevotella stercorea DSM 18206 partial 16S ribosomal RNA
Rfam family: Bacterial small subunit ribosomal RNA
Source: RNAcentral